RNAcentral lists this ribosomal RNA (280 nucleotides) under uncultured cyanobacterium. RNAcentral's name for it is "partial 16S ribosomal RNA". It matches the Rfam family "Bacterial small subunit ribosomal RNA", at positions 409 to 704 of the family's 1533-position model. Lineage: Bacteria; Bacillati; Cyanobacteriota. The record is from RNAcentral.
GGAGGGCCUUUGGGUUGUAAACCUCUUUUCUCAGGGAAGAAGAUCCGACGGUACCUGAGGAAUAAGCAUCGGCUAACUCCGUGCCAGCAGCCGCGGUAAUACGGAGGAUGCAAGCGUUAUCCGGAAUUAUUGGGCGUAAAGCGUCCGCAGGUGGUCUUUCAAGUCUGCUGUCAAAGACCAGAGCUUAACUCUGGGCAGGCGGUGGAAACUGAGAGACUAGAGUUCGGUAGGGGUAGCGGGAAUUCCCAGUGUAGCGGUGAAAUGCGUAGAUAUUGGGAAG